Molecule: ribosomal RNA, 495 nt
Filed under: uncultured bacterium
Lineage: Bacteria
Description: partial 16S ribosomal RNA
Rfam family: Bacterial small subunit ribosomal RNA
Source: RNAcentral
GACGAACGCUGGCGGCGUGCCUAAUACAUGCAAGUAGAACGCUGAAGGAGGAGCUUGCUUCUCUGGAUGAGUUGCGAGCGGGUGAGUAACGCGUAGGUAACCUGCCUGGUAGCGGGGGAUAACUAUUGGAAACGAUAGCUAAUACCGCAUAAGAGUAGAUGUUGCAUGACAUUUGCUUAAAAGGUGCAAUUGCAUCACUACCAGAUGGACCUGCGUUGUAUUAGCUAGUUGGUGGGGUAACGGCGUACCAAGGCGACGAUACAUAGCCGACCUGAGAGGGUGAUCGGCCACACUGGGACUGAGACACGGCCCAGACUCCUACGGGAGGCAGCAGUAGGGAAUCUUCGGCAAUGGACGGAAGUCUGACCGAGCAACGCCGCGGGAGUGAAGAAGGUUUUCGGAUCGUAAAGCUCUGUUGUAAGAGAAGAACGAGUGUGAGAGUGGAAAGUUCACACUGUGACGGUAUCUUACCAGAAAGAGACGGCUAACUACGUG